GCAACUCUGAAGGACUCUUCUAAUAAUACAAACCAAUGUUACCCACUUUGUUAACUUCCCAUGUUUCAUUGGUUGUUUUCUAGUAGUCUUUCUUCUGUUUUCCAAGAAGAGAAGUAAAAACAUACUUUUUACCUGUUGAUAUGCUUCUCACCAUAUUUAAGAAUAUUUUCAGGACUUUAUAGUGUGACUUCUGUAUGUGGUGUUUUUAGGAUCCUUAGCUAUCAAUUUCUAAUGGCCUGCCCAGAGGACUUAAUAUUCUGACACAAAAUCUCCGCUGUCCGUAUUAAGAAGUUCUCUUCCUGGUCGUUCUUUUAAAGUUAUUUUUUCAGUAGUGGAGACUGGUUUCCCAUUGGCUUGCUAGCACCUCAGUUUGCUAUAUUAUAAGAAUAGCAUACUCAACUUUUAGAAUAGAACUAUUAUGUGUGUAUACAUAUUAUGAUAUACACAAUUAGAAUAUAUAAUUAUGACAUAUAACUCUAAGUUAUAUAAUUUGAUUUUACUUUAAAAUAAAAUAGCUGCCGGAUAUGGAUUGGCUGUGUCCCACCAAAAUCUCAUCUUGUAAAGCUCGUAAUUUCCACAUGUUGUGGGAAGGACCCAAUGGUAGGUAAUUGAAUCAUGGGAGCAGGUCUUUCUCAUACUGUUCUCGUGAUAGUGAAUAAGUUUCAUGAGAUCUGAUGGUAUUAUAAGGGAGUUCCCCUGCACAAGCUCUCUCUCUUUGCCUGCUGCCCUUCCUGUAAACCGUGACUUGCUCCUCCUUGCCUCCCACCGUGAUUGUGAGGCCUCCCCAGCCAUGUGGAACUGAGGAGUCUCUCUCUGUGGCCACCACAGUUGGAGAUGUGCUGGGUCACCCUUAAAACCAGUAUGGCUCUGAGUCUCACCCAAGACCCCUGGUCCAGAAAAUGGAGCAAUAAUGUCUCAAAAGAGAAAUUGUUUUCAGCUGGAGCUACGGCUUGGAAAACCAGAUGGUUUUCAGCAAAAACUGAAAACUCAACAAGUCAACUGUUCGGGCCCUUUCCUGCUUCUCACCAUCUGGCCACCUGUUGUGGAGCUCAUCUCAUUUUGGGAAUGAUUCCACCUGAUCUAGGGUGCUCAAAUUUGCCAUCACCAAUAUGGGCAGCCUAACAUGAAUACUAUACCACAGGAAUUAAGCAGCAUCAGCAAUGCAAUAUCUCUGCAGAAAUUAUUGACCAGAAUAUAGAAAAAAAGGAAAUUGAAUUCCCAACACAAGACACUCUAAGAUACCCCUCAAGGUAACUAGCCUGGACUCUUUGCCUUUAAUGUUAUGAAGAACACAGAGAAGUAAUGGGAAUUAUUUAGAUUGGGGAAUACUAAAGACCUAUAACAGAAAAACACAAGGAAUGAAAAUGAAUUAAAAAAUUAAAAGGUAAAGGAAAUUGUGCAGCCAACUAGGAAAGCUAAGAAUAGAUAUUUUGCUUGAUUAUAUCAUUGUAACACUGUUUACUUUUGUAGGUAAUUGAUGGUAAUUUGGUUGUAUUUUCAUAGGAGUUAAUACCCUUUGUCUCUGAGAGGUGGAUGGUGAAGUAUUUUGGAGUGUGAGGUUCUGAUGUCUGCAGCGUUCUGCCAGAAAGGAAGAUAUAUACCAGUGAAACAAGUUUGGCAAGGUUUUAACCAUUUAUUCGUUCAUGUGAAGGAUGUAUGUGUAUUUGUUGUUAUUCUUUUCUCUGUACAUUUGGAUUGUAAUGAAGAAAAAUAAUUUAAUUAAAAUAAGAACACUCAAAUUUUAAAAAUUUUAUCCUCUCUCAGAACUUUUAAAUUUCAUUUGCAUUAAGGAAAAUUAUUUAAUGCAAAAGAUUACCUUAAGACGCAAUACUUUGCCUUCACAACUUUCUCAGUGAUUUCAUGCUUUAUGUCACCCUAAAACAAAUGGACAAAUGCGUGUACUUCACAGAUAAAUACCAACUCAAAUUUGCUUCAUAAAAAGACAAAUGAAU
Long non-coding RNA from Papio anubis (olive baboon), 1952 nucleotides. The record is from Ensembl. NCBI's taxonomy places the organism in Eukaryota, Metazoa, Chordata, Mammalia, Primates, Cercopithecidae.